GCUGAAUGUGGGGAUAAUUUAUCUCCGUGUUGUAGCUAACGCGUUAAGCACUCCGCCUGGGGACUACGGUCGCAAGACUAAAACUCAAAGGAAUUGACGGGGACCCGCACAAGCGGUGGAGCAUGUGGUUUAAUUCGAUGCAACGCGAAAAACCUUACCACUCCUUGACAUGGAGAUUAGAUCCUUCUUAACAGAAGGGCGCAGUUCGGCUGGAUCUCGCACAGGUGCUGCAUGGCUGUCGUCAGCUCGUGUCGUGAGAUGUUGGGUUAAGUCCCGCAACGAGCGUAACCCUCAUCCUUAGUUGUCAGCGGGUAAGCCGGGCACUUUAAGGAAACUGCCGGUGGUAAACCGGAGGAAGGUGGGGAUGAUGUCAAGUCAGCACGGCCCUUAUGGGGUGGGCUACACACGUGCUACAAUGGUGACUACAAUAGGUUGCAAUGUCGCAAGGCUGAGCUAAUCCGUAAAAGUCAUCUCAGUUCGGAUUGUCCUCUGCAACUCGAGGGCAUGAAGUCGGAAUCGCUAGUAAUCGUGGAUCAGCAUGCCACGGUGAAUACGUUCUCGGGUCUUGUACACACCGCCCGUCACGCCAUGGGAAUUGGCUUAACUCGAAGCUGGUGCGCUAACCGAAAGGAAGCAGCCAU
RNAcentral lists this ribosomal RNA (641 nucleotides) under Anaplasma phagocytophilum. RNAcentral describes it as "bacterial SSU rRNA". It matches the Rfam family "Bacterial small subunit ribosomal RNA", at positions 815 to 1456 of the family's 1533-position model. The record is from RNAcentral. Lineage: Bacteria; Pseudomonadati; Pseudomonadota; Alphaproteobacteria; Rickettsiales; Anaplasmataceae.